Long non-coding RNA from Cyprinus carpio carpio, 1148 nucleotides. The record is from Ensembl. NCBI's taxonomy places the organism in Eukaryota, Metazoa, Chordata, Actinopteri, Cypriniformes, Cyprinidae.
UUACUGUGUCCCUUAUCUUUCUGUUUUUGUAUAUUAUAGAGAAUCCAGAUACAGCAGGACAGGAUGAUUUGUGAAAACAGGAAGAAAGUGUGGUCAAUAUGUCAGUUUCAUGAUUACCAAUGUAAAUAAUUUGUUAAUAUGUUAAUUUGUUAAUAUGUAAAAUGUUAAUAAUUGCAUACAUUCGGUUCGCUUAUAUGUUCCCAAGCAUUAAAAGGUACAUAUGUACCUUUUUCUUUAAAGGUUAAGGUACAAUAUCAAGAGCCAGCCCUGAUUGGCUGCUUGAUUUUCAAAUUAAAAGAACGUCCAGUUGGCGGUCUUUCUUUCGGCGGAGACGAAGUCAUAGCACGUAACAGGGCAGUAAAAUCAGCAGUGUAAUAUUUGCAGUGUUAAAAGUUAUUAAUUCCCAAAUAUUUGAAUUAACAAUCCACAGUGUUAAACAGUACUCGUGUUCAGUGUUGUUAUAUGGUGUAAUUUCACUUUUACACUAAAAGUGCGAAAUAAAAGACCCGCCGAAUUGUCUGGACUCCGCCCUUCAGUGACUGCUGCCUCGCGAAGCGACAACGCCAUCUUUUCUUCGAGCGACCGAUACGUUGGUCGUCCUCUCGCCUCUGUUCCCUCCUCGGCCUGGGGUUACUGCGAAUCUGGCGCUGAAGACUGAAGCUGCUAACGUUAUAUUCGAAGCCUCAGAAGACCUUCAAGGAUCCAGUUGACCUCUGAAUCAGCUGUUAAGAAAAUGGGACAGUUAUAUUGCUUCAAUUGGUCUCCUACUUCAUUUGAUUCCACCAUCAUUACAAGGCUGCAAGGGAUCUGGAAAAAUGUCAUCCUGUCAAGCUGAAAAACAUCUUCAAAAAGGCACUAACAAGAACAGCUUGAUUGCAGAGAAGAGACCACACAGCCAUACACGCUCACUGAUGGGACAGUGAGGAACAUCAUUCAUGGAUGCUACACAACUCAAAUCUACACGUCAUAUUUGUUCAUGUCUAGGUAAAUUUGAUGAUUUUGUGUUUUAUUAAUUACUUUGUUUCUGUGCAACACUUAAUGAAUGUGACUGACUAAUUAACCUCUACACAUCUGGUAUAUGCUUUAAAGUUGCCACUUUGCCCAUUUGUUCAAUAAAUGUUGAAAUGUAUACAUCUGUCUGAAGACUU